CGUAGGUGACCUGCGGAAGGAUCAUUACCGAGUGAGGGCCCUCUGGGUCCAACCUCCCACCCGUGUCUAUCGUACCUUGUUGCUUCGGCGGGCCCGCCGUUUCGACGGCCGCCGGGGAGGCCUUGCGCCCCCGGGCCCGCGCCCGCCGAAGACCCCAACAUGAACGCUGUUCUGAAAGUAUGCAGUCUGAGUUGAUUAUCGUAAUCAGUUAAAACUUUCAACAACGGAUCUCUUGGUUCCGGCAUCGAUGAAGAACGCAGCGAAAUGCGAUAAGUAAUGUGAAUUGCAGAAUUCAGUGAAUCAUCGAGUCUUUGAACGCACAUUGCGCCCCCUGGUAUUCCGGGGGGCAUGCCUGUCCGAGCGUCAUUGCUGCCCUCAAGCACGGCUUGUGUGUUGGGCCCCCGUCCCCCUCUCCCGGGGGACGGGCCCGAAAGGCAGCGGCGGCACCGCGUCCGGUCCUCGAGCGUAUGGGGCUUUGUCACCUGCUCUGUAGGCCCGGCCGGCGCCAGCCGACACCCAACUUUAUUUUUCUAAGGUUGACCUCGGAUCAGGUAGGGAUACCCGCUGAACUUAAGCAUAUCAAU
RNAcentral lists this ribosomal RNA (584 nucleotides) under Aspergillus fumigatus. RNAcentral describes it as "eukaryotic LSU rRNA". The stretch from base 213 to 366 matches the Rfam family "5.8S ribosomal RNA". Lineage: Eukaryota; Fungi; Ascomycota; Eurotiomycetes; Eurotiales; Aspergillaceae. The record is from RNAcentral.